Molecule: ribosomal RNA, 254 nt
Filed under: uncultured bacterium
Lineage: Bacteria
Description: partial 16S ribosomal RNA
Rfam family: Bacterial small subunit ribosomal RNA
Source: RNAcentral
UACGUAGGGUGCAAACGUUGUUCGGAAUCACUGGGCAUAAAGAGCGCGUAGGCGGUCUGACAAGUCCCCUGUGAAAGCCCCCGGCUUAACCGGGGAACUGCAUGGGAUACUGUUGGGCUAGAGUGCAGGAGGGGAGAGCGGAAUUCCUGGUGGAGCGGUGAAAUGCGUAGAUAUCAGGAGGAACGCCGGCGGCGAAGGCGGGUUGCUGGGCUGAUGACUGACGCUGAGGCGCGAAAGCCAGGGGAGCGAACGGG